GAUGAACGCUGGCGGCGUGCCUAAUACAUGCAAGUCGAGCGAACAGAUGAGGAGCUUGCUCCUCUGACGUUAGCGGCGGACGGGUGAGUAACACGUGGAUAACCUACCUAUAAGACUGGGAUAACUUCGGGAAACCGGAGCUAAUACCGGAUAAUAUAUUGAACCGCAUGGUUCAAUAGUGAAAGACGGUUUUGCUGUCACUUAUAGAUGGAUCCGCGCCGCAUUAGCUAGUUGGUAAGGUAACGGCUUACCAAGGCAACGAUGCGUAGCCGACCUGAGAGGGGGAUCGGCGACACUGGAACUGAGAACCGGUCGAGAGUCCUACUGGAGGCAGCAGCAGGGAAGCUUCCGCAAUGGGCGAAAGCCUGACGGAGCAACGACGCGUGAGUGAGGAAGGUCUACGGAUAGUAAAACUCUGUUAUUAGGGAAGAACAAACGGGGAAGUAACAGGGCACGUCUUGACGGUACCUAAUCAGAAAGCCACGGCUAACUACGUG
RNAcentral lists this ribosomal RNA (497 nucleotides) under uncultured bacterium. Its description in RNAcentral is "partial 16S ribosomal RNA". It matches the Rfam family "Bacterial small subunit ribosomal RNA", at positions 28 to 507 of the family's 1533-position model. The record is from RNAcentral.